Molecule: ribosomal RNA, 253 nt
Filed under: uncultured bacterium
Lineage: Bacteria
Description: partial 16S ribosomal RNA
Rfam family: Bacterial small subunit ribosomal RNA
Source: RNAcentral
UACGUAGGGUGCAAGCGUUGUCCGGAAUUAUUGGGCGUAAAGAGCUCGUAGGCGGUCUGUUGCGUCGGCUGUGAAAACCCGAGGCUCAACCUCGGGCCUGCAGCCGAUACGGGCAGACUAGAGUUCGGCAGGGGAGACUGGAAUUCCUGGUGUAGCGGUGAAAUGCGCAGAUAUCAGGAGGAACACCGGUGGCGAAGGCGGGUCUCUGGGCCGAUACUGACGCUGAGACGCGAAAGCGUGGGGAGCGAACAGG